This 226-nucleotide ribosomal RNA is filed under the name uncultured bacterium. Its description in RNAcentral is "partial 16S ribosomal RNA". It matches the Rfam family "Bacterial small subunit ribosomal RNA", at positions 538 to 763 of the family's 1533-position model. The record is from RNAcentral.
GCGUUGUCCGGAUUCACUGGGUGUAAAGGGUGCGCAGGCGGGUUGGCAAGUCAGAGGUGAAAUCUCACAGCUUAACUGUGAAACUGCCUUUGAUACUUCCAAUCUUGAGUUAAAGAGAGGUUGAUGGAAUUUCAGGUGUAGCGGUGAAAUGCGUAGAUAUCUGAAAGAACACCAGUGGCGAAGGCGGUCAACUGGCUUUUAACUGACGCUCUGGCACGAAAGCGUG